GACGAACGCUGGCGGCGUGCUUAACACAUGCAAGUCGAGCGGUAAGGCCCUUUUGGGGGUACACGAGCGGCGAACGGGUGAGUAACACGUGGGUGAUCUGCCCUCAGCUCUGGGAUAAGCCUGGGAAACUGGGUCUAAUACUGGAUAUGACCUUUCCUCGCAUGGGGGUUGGGUGGAAAGUUUUUCGGCUGGGGAGUGGGCCCGCGGCCUAUCAGCUUGUUGGUGGGGUGAUGGCCUACCAAGGCGACGACGGGUAGCCGGCCUGAGGGGGCGACCGGCCACACUGGGACUGAGACACGGCCCAGACUCCUACGGGAGGCAGCAGUGGGGAAUAUUGCGCAAUGGGGCGGAAGCCUGACGCAGCGACGCCGCGUGGGGGAUGACGGCCUU
This 390-nucleotide ribosomal RNA is filed under the name uncultured bacterium. RNAcentral describes it as "bacterial SSU rRNA". It matches the Rfam family "Bacterial small subunit ribosomal RNA", at positions 28 to 418 of the family's 1533-position model. The record is from RNAcentral.